UAGCCAGACUCCUACGGGAGGCAGCAGUCGAGAAUCAUUCACAAUGGGGGGAACCCUGAUGCAGCGACGCCGCGUGGGUGAAGGAGUGCUUCGGCAUGUAAACCCCUAUCGGCAGGGAAGAAGCAGGACGGUACCCGACUAAGAAGCCCCGGCUAACUACGUGCCAGCAGCCGCGGUAAUACGUAGGGGGCAAGCGUUAUCCGGAUUUACUGGGUGUAAAGGGAGCGCAGACGGCAGUGCAAGUCUGGAGUGAAAGCCCGGGGCCCAACCCCGGGACUGCUUUGGAAACUGUGUAACUGGAGUACAGGAGGGGCAGGCGGAAUUCCUGGUGUAGCGGUGAAAUGCGUAGAUAUCAGGAGGAACACCGGCGGCGAAGGCGGCCUGCUGGACUGAAACUGACGUUGAGGCUCGAAAGCGUGGGGAGCAAACAGGAUUAGAUACCCGAGUAC
RNAcentral lists this ribosomal RNA (449 nucleotides) under uncultured bacterium. Its description in RNAcentral is "bacterial SSU rRNA". It matches the Rfam family "Bacterial small subunit ribosomal RNA", at positions 328 to 793 of the family's 1533-position model. The record is from RNAcentral.